UACGUAGGGUGCGAGCGUUGUCCGGAAUUAUUGGGCGUAAAGAGCUCGUAGGCGGUUUGUCGCGUCGGCUGUGAAAGCCCGGAGCUCAACUCCGGGUCUGCAGUCGAUACGGGCAGACUUGAGUGUUGCAGGGGAGACUGGAAUUCCUGGUGUAGCGGUGAAAUGCGCAGAUAUCAGGAGGAACACCGGUGGCGAAGGCGGGUCUCUGGGCAACAACUGACGCUGAGGAGCGAAAGCGUGGGGAGCGAACAGG
This 253-nucleotide ribosomal RNA is filed under the name uncultured bacterium. RNAcentral's name for it is "partial 16S ribosomal RNA". It matches the Rfam family "Bacterial small subunit ribosomal RNA", at positions 524 to 776 of the family's 1533-position model. The record is from RNAcentral.